This 279-nucleotide microRNA precursor is filed under the name Medicago truncatula (barrel medic). RNAcentral's name for it is "MIR2655 microRNA precursor family". It matches the Rfam family "MIR2655 microRNA precursor family". The record is from Rfam by way of RNAcentral. Lineage: Eukaryota; Viridiplantae; Streptophyta; Magnoliopsida; Fabales; Fabaceae.
CCCUUAACUAUUAAAAGUUUUGUUUUGAUCCCUUAACUUAUUUUUUGGUUUCGUUUUGGUCUCUUAACUCUUCCUCCGUCAACCACUUUGGUCCUUUAUGUUAGGAUGAAUGUAUUGGAGUUAAGGACCAAAAUGAAAUCAAAAAAUAAGUUAAGUGACCUAAACGAAACCAAAAAAUAAGUUAAGGGACCAAAACGAAAACUUUUAAUAGUUAAGGUACUAAAACGAAACCAAAAAAUAAGUUAAAGGACUAAAACAAAACUUUUAAUAAUUAAGGGA